ACGCUCGACACCUACGGGAGGCAGCAGUGGGGAAUAUUGCACAAUGGGGGAAACCCUGAUGCAGCGACGCCGCGUGAGCGAAGAAGUAUUUCGGUAUGUAAAGCUCUAUCAGCAGGGAAGAAAAUGACGGUACCUGACUAAGAAGCACCGGCUAAAUACGUACCAGCAGCCGCGGUAAUCUGAGCGGGCUGGCAAGGC
RNAcentral lists this ribosomal RNA (198 nucleotides) under uncultured bacterium. RNAcentral describes it as "partial 16S ribosomal RNA". It matches the Rfam family "Bacterial small subunit ribosomal RNA", at positions 328 to 539 of the family's 1533-position model. The record is from RNAcentral.